Molecule: ribosomal RNA, 86 nt
Filed under: uncultured eukaryote
Lineage: Eukaryota
Description: partial small subunit ribosomal RNA
Source: RNAcentral
GUGAGGGUGUAUCCUCGUGGUACAUUCGAAUUUAGGGUUCGCAAGAAGGGCUAAGUCGUAACAAGGUAUCCGUAGGUGAACCUGCA